Molecule: long non-coding RNA, 1471 nt
Organism: Serinus canaria (Common canary)
Lineage: Eukaryota; Metazoa; Chordata; Aves; Passeriformes; Fringillidae
Exons: 3
Source: RefSeq, a predicted model, not a curated record
CUCAAUAUUUAGUGUUUUCUCACUUAAAAUUCUCUUCCUGCAAGCCAUUAAGGUGUGAGAUUGAGCCUUUCAGUGUUCAUGGAGAGCUAAAACACAUGGGGGUAGAGAAGAACUGAAAAGAUAUUUAUUUGGGGACCCAGGCCAAUACUGAGGAAUUUGAUUCAGCUACAAUGUCCAGCUGGAUGUGAGAUAAAGCAGUGCUUAAUCUGGAUUUCUAGACUAGCUGUGAAGAACCACAGUGAUGGGGUUUCCCAUAGGUAACACCAGACCUUAGGGAUUUUUGAAAAUUAAAAGGUUUUAUGCCUGGAAAUAAUUAUAGUUCACAAAAAAAGGAUUUGAUUCCUUUUUAGCAAAAUGGGCAUUGAGCUGUGCAGAGUCCUUCGGUUUGGUGCUGAAGUUGUGUUAAAUCUUACAUUUCAAGGUUUCCUGAGUUUCUUCUAAUUUCCAAGAAUACUGAGAUGAAACAGCCACUAUAAAUCCUGUAAGUCCAAAAGUGCCAGGUGUAUAGCAGCAAGUAGUUUAUCAGCUUCUGUUUAUCUGGGUUUUCUUAAACCUUGUCAGACACAAUGAUGAUCAGCACUGACUUCCUACCAAACAGGUCAAUAGAGGCUUCACUCUCUGAUCUAGAUGCCAGAUGAGUUGUCCACAAAACAUCCAUUAGGACACAGACCUCAGGUGUAGGAAAACAUAGCAAACAAUUACAGAGACUUCCUGGGAUGAAAGAAUUCAAGCCAUGAUCACCUGCUUGCUCAGAAAUAACUGAUGAAAUUGGUGAUAUGAUUCCUUGUGAUGGCCUGCCUGCUUUGUGUCAGGAAGGUUCACAUCUCUAAUGUCUCUUCAGAUGUUUUUAAGCCUGCAGCACGGUGCUGAGAGAGAACUGCUUCAGCAGGAGUGUUGUGCCAUCCUUGGCCAGGGAAGGAGUGAAAUGCUGACCCCUGGAAGUGCUGGCCAGGGUGCUAUGCAUGGCAUGGAAAGGAAAUAUUUCUGUGGUGGAAAUCUGCAUCUGGUGCUCCUGGGCUGUGCAGAAGUAAAGCCCCAACUGGAAGCCAAUGGAGUUGGAAAUGUACUGACUUUGUUUCAUUUCUGGUAUAAUUAGUCACCAAUAGCUGAAUACUGAUGUUGGAUGCACAAUAACCACCCUCAGCCUCUCUGCAGAAAUGGAAAUGCAAUUGGCAUUUGCUGCUGUCUCUGAAAUGGGUUUUGUUGAACCUAAUUUGUUUUCCCAGCAACCCUGUUGCUAAAUGUUCUCAGACCAGGCAGGGAAUAUGCAAAUGAUGGAAUUAUUUUUCAUGGCAUUGAGGGGGCAGCUAGGUUAAUACCAGUCACUUUGCCCUUGGGCAUCGAUUGCCAUCAGCUGUGCCAGCCAAUCUCUUACAUGAAAACUCCAAGAGUGAUUCUCCACCAUCCUGCAUGGCCUUCAGCUGAUACCAGGUGAGUGUCAGACCUUCCAGAGGCAGCAGAUGUGUUUUGU